Molecule: ribosomal RNA, 154 nt
Organism: Dioscorea cayenensis subsp. rotundata (Guinea yam)
Lineage: Eukaryota; Viridiplantae; Streptophyta; Magnoliopsida; Dioscoreales; Dioscoreaceae
Product: 5.8S ribosomal RNA
Exons: 1
Source: RefSeq, a predicted model, not a curated record
GACUCUCGGCAAUGGAUAUCUCGGCUCUUGCAUCGAUAAAGAACGUAGAGAAAUGCGAUACUUGGUGUGAAUUGCAGAAUCCCAGUGAACCAUCGAGUCUUUGAACGCAAGUUGCGCCCGAGGCCACCGGAGGGCGGCGCCUGCCUGGGCGUCG